This 114-nucleotide ribosomal RNA is filed under the name Lepisosteus oculatus (spotted gar). The record is from RNAcentral. Lineage: Eukaryota; Metazoa; Chordata; Actinopteri; Semionotiformes; Lepisosteidae.
GCCAGCAGCCAUAUCACCCUGUAACUCUCAACUGGCAGCCCACUGAAGCUCAGCAGGGUUGAGCCUGGCCAGUACCUGGAUGGGAGACCUGGGAAGGGAUGGUUGCUCCUGGAA